This 253-nucleotide ribosomal RNA is filed under the name uncultured bacterium. RNAcentral's name for it is "partial 16S ribosomal RNA". It matches the Rfam family "Bacterial small subunit ribosomal RNA", at positions 524 to 776 of the family's 1533-position model. The record is from RNAcentral.
UACGGAGGGUGCGAGCGUUGUCCGGAAUCACUGGGCGUAAAGGGCGCGUAGGCGGCCGUUUGCGUCGGAUGUGAAAGCCCGGGGCUCAACCCCGGAACGGCAUCCGAUACGGGACGGCUGGAGACCGGGAGAGGAGGGUGGAAUAGCCAGUGUAGAGGUGAAAUUCGUAGAUAUUGGCUGGAACACCGGUGGCGAAAGCGGCUCUCUGGCCCGGUUCUGACGCUGAGGCGCGAAAGCCAGGGGAGCAAACGGG